UACGAAGGGGGCUAGCGUUGUUCGGAAUUACUGGGCGUAAAGCGCACGUAGGCGGUUUUCCAAGUUGGAGGUGAAAUCCCCGGGCUUAACCUGGGAACUGCCUCCAAAACUGGAAGACUCGAGUCCGAGAGAGGUGAGUGGAAUUUCCAGUGUAGAGGUGAAAUUCGUAGAUAUUGGAAAGAACACCAGUGGCGAAGGCGGCUCACUGGCUCGGUACUGACGCUGAGGAGCGACAGCGUGGGGAGCAAACAGG
RNAcentral lists this ribosomal RNA (253 nucleotides) under uncultured bacterium. Its description in RNAcentral is "partial 16S ribosomal RNA". It matches the Rfam family "Bacterial small subunit ribosomal RNA", at positions 524 to 776 of the family's 1533-position model. The record is from RNAcentral.